Pleuronectes platessa (European plaice) is the source of this 130-nucleotide small nucleolar RNA. NCBI's taxonomy places the organism in Eukaryota, Metazoa, Chordata, Actinopteri, Pleuronectiformes, Pleuronectidae. The record is from RefSeq and is a predicted model, not a curated record.
AAGCACAAUUCAUUGUCCUGCUCUUCACUUUAUAAAGUGCAGCGAUAUUUCUAUUGUGCUAGAAAAAAGCUGGAGGUAAAUUAGCAAAGUGGCUACACGUGCCAUAUUUGCCAGUCCCCUUCACACAGUC